RNAcentral lists this unclassified non-coding RNA (334 nucleotides) under soil metagenome. RNAcentral's name for it is "partial contains 5.8S ribosomal RNA, internal transcribed spacer 2, and large subunit ribosomal RNA". The stretch from base 1 to 120 matches the Rfam family "5.8S ribosomal RNA", at positions 35 to 154 of the family's 154-position model. The record is from RNAcentral.
GAUGAAGAACGCAGCGAAAUGCGAUAAGUAGUGUGAAUUGCAGAAUUCAGUGAAUCAUCGAGUCUUUGAACGCACAUUGCGCCCGCCAGCACUCUGGCGGGCAUGCCUGUUCGAGCGUCAUUUCAACCAUCAAGCCCCAGGCUUGCGUUGGAGCCCUGCGGCUGCCGCAGCCUCCUAAAAGCAGUGGCGGGCUCGCUAUCACACCGAGUGCAGUAGAUUACUCUUCGCUCAGGGCGUGCAGCGGGUUCCGGCCGUGAAACCCCCUACUUUUAAAGGUUGACCUCGGAUCAGGUAGGAAUACCCGCUGAACUUAAGCAUAUCAAUAAGCGGAGGA